UUCUGUUACAGAAAGUACCGAUUUCUCAUAUAACCGUAUCUAUUCAUUGCUUGAACCCAGUAGUGCUUAAUCCGAGAGCACCCAAAUUAUGUUAAGUGCCUAUUAAUCAUACUACCCUUCAAACCGAUAACCUACAGGAGGACUGUAUAAUGCACUUUAGAGCAGGAUGGCCAAUCGGUAGACCCACAACUAGUUUAGAAUUGAAUCUCCCAUGAUGUUUUUUAGCCACCUCUGUCUAGAAAGCUACUGAAAUGUAAUAAUUCAAAGUUGCCCUUGUUCGCUUUGUCAUCUGAUGAUUUUAGCUCUCUACAAUUAAUAAUAGAAUUGGAGUAACUAUCAGACAUCUUGAGGGUAUGUUUUGCUAGAUUGCUAAAAUAUUAAUUUGUCACCAGAGUAUUUGAUUUUAAUUGUACAAGGUUUGUCUGCCUCAGUUCUAGAAAGCCUCAACGCUGACCAUUUUAGGAUUUAGCCAACAUAUAAUUAACUUUGUGUAUCACUAAGCAGUGUGUUGGUUAUAACCCUGUAAUCUCAGCAUGGUUCUAAGGCAGGGCAUAUGUAAUGCUGUUGUAGAUCGUGAAAAAUAAAAUUCUGCUUUAUGGACUGUUUCAAAAUCCAAUUAAAAACAUUCACCAUUCUCCCUG
Pelobates cultripes (western spadefoot toad) is the source of this 641-nucleotide non-coding RNA. The record is from the annotation of a GenBank genome assembly. Lineage: Eukaryota; Metazoa; Chordata; Amphibia; Anura; Pelobatidae.